RNAcentral lists this ribosomal RNA (2901 nucleotides) under Klebsiella pneumoniae. Its description in RNAcentral is "bacterial LSU rRNA". It matches the Rfam family "Bacterial large subunit ribosomal RNA". The record is from RNAcentral. Lineage: Bacteria; Pseudomonadati; Pseudomonadota; Gammaproteobacteria; Enterobacterales; Enterobacteriaceae.
UUAAGCGACUAAGCGUACACGGUGGAUGCCCUGGCAGUCAGAGGCGAUGAAGGACGUGCUAAUCUGCGAAAAGCGUCGGUAAGGUGAUAUGAACCGUUAUAGCCGGCGAUGUCCGAAUGGGGAAACCCAGUGCAAUUCGUUGCACUAUCGUUAACUGAAUACAUAGGUUAACGAGGCGAACCGGGGGAACUGAAACAUCUAAGUACCCCGAGGAAAAGAAAUCAACCGAGAUUCCCCCAGUAGCGGCGAGCGAACGGGGAGCAGCCCAGAGUCUGAAUCAGCUUGUGUGUUAGUGGAACGGUCUGGAAAGUCCGACGGUACAGGGUGAUAGUCCCGUACACCAAAAUGCACAGGCUGUGAACUCGAAGAGUAGGGCGGGACACGUGGUAUCCUGUCUGAAUAUGGGGGGACCAUCCUCCAAGGCUAAAUACUCCUGACUGACCGAUAGUGAACCAGUACCGUGAGGGAAAGGCGAAAAGAACCCCGGCGAGGGGAGUGAAAAGAACCUGAAACCGUGUACGUACAAGCAGUGGGAGCACCUUCGGGUGUGACUGCGUACCUUUUGUAUAAUGGGUCAGCGACUUAUAUUCUGUAGCAAGGUUAACCGUAUAGGGGAGCCGCAGGGAAACCGAGUCUUAACUGGGCGUUAAGUUGCAGGGUAUAGACCCGAAACCCGGUGAUCUAGCCAUGGGCAGGUUGAAGGUUGGGUAACACUAACUGGAGGACCGAACCGACUAAUGUUGAAAAAUUAGCGGAUGACUUGUGGCUGGGGGUGAAAGGCCAAUCAAACCGGGAGAUAGCUGGUUCUCCCCAAAAGCUAUUUAGGUAGCGCCUCGUGAACUCAUCUUCGGGGGUAGAGCACUGUUUCGGCUAGGGGGUCAUCCCGACUUACCAACCCGAUGCAAACUACGAAUACCGAAGAAUGUUAUCACGGGAGACACACGGCGGGUGCUAACGUCCGUCGUGAAGAGGGAAACAACCCAGACCGCCAGCUAAGGUCCCAAAGUCAUGGUUAAGUGGGAAACGAUGUGGGAAGGCACAGACAGCCAGGAUGUUGGCUUAGAAGCAGCCAUCAUUUAAAGAAAGCGUAAUAGCUCACUGGUCGAGUCGGCCUGCGCGGAAGAUGUAACGGGGCUAAACCAUGCACCGAAGCUGCGGCAGCGACACUAUGUGUUGUUGGGUAGGGGAGCGUUCUGUAAGCCUGCGAAGGUGUGCUGUGAGGCAUGCUGGAGGUAUCAGAAGUGCGAAUGCUGACAUAAGUAACGAUAAAGCGGGUGAAAAGCCCGCUCGCCGGAAGACCAAGGGUUCCUGUCCAACGUUAAUCGGGGCAGGGUGAGUCGACCCCUAAGGCGAGGCCGAAAGGCGUAGUCGAUGGGAAACAGGUUAAUAUUCCUGUACUUGGUGUUACUGCGAAGGGGGGACGGAGAAGGCUAUGUUAGCCGGGCGACGGUUGUCCCGGUUUAAGCAUGUAGGCUGGUUGUCCAGGCAAAUCCGGAUAAUCAAGGCUGAGGUGUGAUGACGAGGCACUACGGUGCUGAAGUAACAAAUGCCCUGCUUCCAGGAAAAGCCUCUAAGCAUCAGGUAACAUCAAAUCGUACCCCAAACCGACACAGGUGGUCAGGUAGAGAAUACCAAGGCGCUUGAGAGAACUCGGGUGAAGGAACUAGGCAAAAUGGUGCCGUAACUUCGGGAGAAGGCACGCUGGUGUGUAGGUGAAGUCCCUGCGGAUGGAGCUGAGACCAGUCGAAGAUACCAGCUGGCUGCAACUGUUUAUUAAAAACACAGCACUGUGCAAACACGAAAGUGGACGUAUACGGUGUGACGCCUGCCCGGUGCCGGAAGGUUAAUUGAUGGGGUUAUCCGUAAGGAGAAGCUCUUGAUCGAAGCCCCGGUAAACGGCGGCCGUAACUAUAACGGUCCUAAGGUAGCGAAAUUCCUUGUCGGGUAAGUUCCGACCUGCACGAAUGGCGUAAUGAUGGCCAGGCUGUCUCCACCCGAGACUCAGUGAAAUUGAACUCGCUGUGAAGAUGCAGUGUACCCGCGGCAAGACGGAAAGACCCCGUGAACCUUUACUAUAGCUUGACACUGAACAUUGAGCCUUGAUGUGUAGGAUAGGUGGGGAGGCUUUGAAGCGUGGACGCCAGUCUGCGUGGAGCCAACCUUGAAAUACCACCCUUUAAUGUUUGAUGUUCUAACGUUGGCCCCUUACCGGGGUUGCGGACAGUGUCUGGUGGGUAGUUUGACUGGGGCGGUCUCCUCCCAAAGCGUAACGGAGGAGCACGAAGGUUAGCUAAUCCUGGUCGGACAUCAGGAGGUUAGUGCAAUGGCAUAAGCUAGCUUGACUGCGAGCGUGACGGCGCGAGCAGGUGCGAAAGCAGGUCAUAGUGAUCCGGUGGUUCUGAAUGGAAGGGCCAUCGCUCAACGGAUAAAAGGUACUCCGGGGAUAACAGGCUGAUACCGCCCAAGAGUUCAUAUCGACGGCGGUGUUUGGCACCUCGAUGUCGGCUCAUCACAUCCUGGGGCUGAAGUAGGUCCCAAGGGUAUGGCUGUUCGCCAUUUAAAGUGGUACGCGAGCUGGGUUUAGAACGUCGUGAGACAGUUCGGUCCCUAUCUGCCGUGGGCGCUGGAGAAUUGAGGGGGGGCUGCUCCUAGUACGAGAGGACCGGAGUGGACGCAUCACUGGUGUUCGGGUUGUCAUGCCAAUGGCACUGCCCGGUAGCUAAAUGCGGAAGAGAUAAGUGCUGAAAGCAUCUAAGCACGAAACUUGCCCCGAGAUGAGUUCUCCCUGAGACUUUAAGUCUCCUGAAGGAACGUUGAAGACGACGACGUUGAUAGGCCGGGUGUGUAAGCGCAGCGAUGCGUUGAGCUAACCGGUACUAAUGAACCGUGAGGCUUAACCUU